CCACAGGUUUUAAUAGAAACCACAAAAUUACUGCGGAAGGCGGUGU
Molecule: non-coding RNA, 46 nt
Organism: Flavobacteriaceae bacterium
Lineage: Bacteria; Pseudomonadati; Bacteroidota; Flavobacteriia; Flavobacteriales; Flavobacteriaceae
Source: Rfam